Molecule: long non-coding RNA, 1735 nt
Filed under: Paramuricea clavata
Lineage: Eukaryota; Metazoa; Cnidaria; Anthozoa; Malacalcyonacea; Plexauridae
Source: RNAcentral
CCUGUAUGUUUUAGGAUAAGCCAGCUGUUCGUGCCGAAGCGUUUACGUUGUUUGGAAAUCUAUCAAGAUUUGGUAACGGUCCAUCAAAAGGUCCUUUCUUGGAGCAAAUCCACGCAAACUUUGUCAGUUUGUUGAUACAUAUGAAUGAAGAACCGGAAGUUACUAAGGUUUGCUUUUCAAAAAAAAGUUCUGAUAUAUUAUUUGUAUUUUUUGCAUGGCUGUAAAUAUAGCAUGAUGAUGUUAUAAAUGCUCUUUGUUAAGCAAAAUUUCAAAAUUAUUAUUAAUUAGUAACAAACUAAUUCCAUCACAUACGCGGUUUUCAUGGACGUCCUGCAAAUAAAUUACAUUAUUAUAUAUCAAUAGUCAAAGUCGCAUUUUUCUAGUGUUUUAUUGGUUGAGAGCAUAUCACGUGAGAGUGAUGAAAUUAGGCUGUCUCCCUCGCAACAGCGCGAGAGGGAGAUAAUACGUUAUCGACCGGCGAAUAACAAAAAAAAGUCACGUGCGCCAUCACGUGAAGAUGCGACCUUUGGACAUGCCUAGUACGUAAUUAAAACUUUCGCUUUAAGUAACUGCACUGUAGCCAGUGUUUAAUAUUUAACAAAUAUAAAACAUUUUCCGUGUUGAUAUACAGUUAUAUCAACACGAGUGGAAAUUGGGAAAACGAGAAAUUGUGUGGAAACACGACGCCCGAAGGGCGGAGUGUUUUCACACAAUCUCGAGUUUUCCCAACUUCCACGAGUGUUGAUAUAACUAUAUAUAGUGUUUUAUAUUUGUUUUAUAAUAUAGCAAUGUCAAAAGCCCGAAGAAUAAGAAAAAUUUCCGUGUUACAAGCGGCGGAAAAUUUCCCGUGUUGACAUGGAGUUAUAUCAACACGGCUCUUAGCCAAUCAGCGUUCAGAAUUUACAAAUGCUAUAUUAUAAAACGUUUUAACAAUAAAAUAUUUCAUGUAUGUACGUUCAUUUGUUCUUUAAUUUGUUGUUUCUUUGACUAUUGAUAUAUAAUAAAACACUUAUUUACUGAGACCUCGGGAAAGCAGUGUGUUUUGUGGACCCUCGACCGUCGAUGUUUCCCUCGGCUUCGCCUCGGGAAACAUCGACGGUCUCGGGUCCACAAAACACACUGUUUCCCUCGGUCUCAGUAAAUAAGUGAUAAAUAGCUACAGUAGCUAAUAUAUUAUAAUAUAUACUAAAAUAUUACAAUGUAAAAUAAGUCUCUAUACUAUAGUUCAAAGUCCAAUCUAAAAUUAUUUAUUUACAAAGUGUUCUUGUCAUAAUGUUUAAAAGUAAAAAGACAAUUGUUUCUCAAGUAGAAUUGGGUGGCAUAUAGAGACCUUUGUUGGCCAUAGCUAAGUGGUACAGAGCGAGUCCACGUGGUAAGCCUAUAGACAUAUUCUGCUUGACAAUUACACCAAGAUGUUUAAAUGUUUCUGCGGUUUCGAUAGCUUGUUGAUCAAGCAGUAUGUUAACUUGCAAAUUGCAUGAUGGUAGGUCGUUCAUAUAUUAGUGUAGUGUAAUUUCAAUCUUAUAAGGGAAAGUACAGCAUUAAUAUUUCAGCAACUUCAAUUUUUUCUUUAGGCGUGUAAAUGUGCCUUGCGCAAGCUGUCACCUCUAAUGGGCUCUGAAUCUAUCAGUGAUAUGUUUCAAAAACAUCUACUAGAAAACGCAAAUCUUCAUUACGGCGAGUUUAUGAAGGAUUUAUCAAGACUCAUAGUAAGUAAAAAUUAUUUUGACUUUGG